CUGUGUCUCGUCGGUGGAUGGUUGCUGGUAGUACCAUUGCCAGCCUAUCAGCAGUUGUACCACUGAUGUGACACGCC
Capitella teleta is the source of this 77-nucleotide non-coding RNA. The record is from Rfam. NCBI's taxonomy places the organism in Eukaryota, Metazoa, Annelida, Polychaeta, Capitellidae.